GACGAACGCUGGCAGCGUGCCUAAUACAUGCAAGUCGAACGCUUCUUUUCCCACCGGAGCUUGCUCCACCGGGAAAAGAGGAGUGGCGAACGGGUGAGUAACACGUGGGUAACCUGCCCAUCAGAAGGGGAUAACACUUGGAAACAGGUGCUAAUACCGUAUAACAAUCGAAACCGCAUGGUUUCGUUUUGAAAGGCGCUUUACGGUGCCGCUGAUGGAUGGACCCGCGGUGCAUUAGCUAGUUGGUGAGGUAACGGCUCACCAAGGCCACGAUGCAGAGCCGACCUGAGGGGGUGAUCGGCCACAUGGGGACUGGGACACGGCCCAAACUCCUACGGGAGGCAGCAGUAGGGAAUCUUCGGCAAUGGACGAAAGUCUGACCGAGCAACGCCGCGUGAGUGAAGAAGGUUUUCGGAUCGUAAAACUCUGUUGUUAGAGAAGAACAAGGGUGAGAGUAACUGUUCACCCCUUGACGGUAUCUAACCAGAAAGCCACGGCUAACUACGUGCCAGCCGCCGCCGUAA
This 524-nucleotide ribosomal RNA is filed under the name uncultured bacterium. Its description in RNAcentral is "partial 16S ribosomal RNA". It matches the Rfam family "Bacterial small subunit ribosomal RNA", at positions 28 to 523 of the family's 1533-position model. The record is from RNAcentral.